UAGCAACCUGUAGAAAUGUUUAAGACAUUUUAAAAGUCCCUGAAAAAAAGAAAUAAAAUCCAAGCACAUUAUAAAUGUUAUUGAUACAACGUAUAGAAGGAACUGCAGUGUUUUUUUGUGUUCAGUAGUCUUUUGGGCGGGGCUAAGACGGUGGUGACUUUUCCCAAAACAAGGUUCGCCUUUUUCCCCCACAGGUUAUACUGUUACUACGCAUGCGCAAGGGUUCUGGUCUGUGCGCGACCGUCAGUGGAACAGCUAGCUAGCAAAACAACCCAGCCCGCCAGAACGGAAGUGGAUUGCAUAAAUGGGCGGAGUUUAGGAUGUAGAGCGGAAACGGCUCAUAAACUUGUCCAUAGGCCCACAUUUUUCCUGGCCGAUGAUUGGCUUUCCCGCGGGAGGGGCGGGACAUGAAGCAGAUGAUUGGCUUUCCCGCGGGAGGGGCGGGACAUGAAGUAGAUGAUUGGCUUUCCAGCGGGAGGGGCGGGACAUGUGCAUACAGUUGCCAUCUUUACCGUUACGUAUUUUUCUUAAAAACACGUGUUGAAGUGGCGUGUCUCCUACUUGGUUCAACUUGAAGUUGCUACAGCCUGGAGACUGAAGUCAACGUCGAGUAACACCGUUUAGAUAUCUUGACCAGAGCAUUACCGGUUAUCUUCACCCAAGAGACCUACUGUUGGACAUUCUUUUUGGAUUUAAAGAACAAGGUUUCUCACCAGUGGUCCAGUCUCCACUUCUAAGAGCCAAGAGUUUGAGUAAAACUGGAGGAGAACCAAGCCUGCUGGAGGGGAAGCAAUGCACGAGCAGCUUGAUAACUGCAGCUCACUUCAAGAUCAGUUGAAGCAAGUUGGGACAAUGAUGAAGACCUUUGCUCGCACAAGGCAAUCAGGUACGACUUGCAAACUCCUGUGUUUGUUUGAUUAAUUCCCACUGGGGCCACCUAUACAUGUUGUAUACCAAGAUGUAAAUAUCAUAGUUUAGUAGUUGAGGGACCAGGACUGACUAUGUUCUUUUAUUUUGGGAAUCCCUUUAGGCGCAGAUCAGA
Molecule: non-coding RNA, 1042 nt
Organism: Gasterosteus aculeatus aculeatus (three-spined stickleback)
Lineage: Eukaryota; Metazoa; Chordata; Actinopteri; Perciformes; Gasterosteidae
Source: RefSeq, a predicted model, not a curated record